AACGAACGCUGGCGGCAUGCCUAACACAUGCAAGUCGAACGAGACCUUCGGGUCUAGUGGCGCACGCGUGCGUAACGCGUGGGAACCUGCCCUUAGGUUCGGAAUAACUCCCCGAAAGGGGUGCUAAUACCGGAUAAUGUCUUCGGACCAAAGAUUUAUCGCCUUUGGAUGGGCCCGCGUUGGAUUAGCUAGUUGGUAGGGUAAAAGCCUACCAAGGCGACGAUCCAUAGCUGGUCUGAGAGGAUGAUCAGCCACACUGGGACUGGGACACGGCCCAGACUACUACGGGAGGCAGCAGUGGGGAAUAUUGGAAAAUGGGCGAAAGCCUGAUCCAGCAAUGCCGCGUGAGUGAUGAAGGCCUUAGGGUUGUAAAGCUCUUUUACCCGGGAUGAUAAUGACAGUACCGGGAGAAUAAGCUCCGGCUAACUCCGUG
RNAcentral lists this ribosomal RNA (433 nucleotides) under uncultured bacterium. RNAcentral describes it as "partial 16S ribosomal RNA". It matches the Rfam family "Bacterial small subunit ribosomal RNA", at positions 29 to 507 of the family's 1533-position model. The record is from RNAcentral.